GAACUAAUGCGCGUGGCUCAACAUUCUAGUCGGGUCCUUUAGUGGGUUGCGCCACUGAAACCGGAAGUUAGUUUUGUAAAUAUACGAUGAAAAAGACGAACGACAAUUACCACGAGGAGUAGUAUUGUAUUAUUACAAGUUCUGCACCAAAAAGACUAAUGAAGCAGACACAGAUGGAGCCAGAUGAUGGUGUUGAAAGAGUUGAAGAGAACCAGAGGACUUGGAAGACACUCUGGCUCUCAGAGAUCCUGAGAGUGAGAAACAAAUAGAUUGUGAGACACAGACAGAGAAUAUAUGUGCAUCCACAAGCGCUGGACCAUCAGACAUCAGCACAUAUAAAGAAGACCCACCAAUGCGGCAGGACCUAAAGACGUUUCCAAGGACCUUGAUGGGGAACAGGAGAAGGAACUUCAAGGCAGACUGGUACCACACUCUUGUUACACUCCAUAAAGUGUUUGGAGAAACAAAACUUCUCUCUGACUUGCUACAGUCUUUAACACUUGACAUUUCAAAAGCUGUAGAUUUAAUUGAGGUUUUACAGACAUGGAAUGAUUUUUGGCAGGAGUCAUUUUUUGAUGAUGUGGGAUGAAGUGCUGAAUGUUUUUGGGCGGUGUGAUCCAACACCACCAGCUGCAAAAUGACCAAAAAAUUCUAAGUUCUAAACUCGGCAAGCACUGUGUGCCGACCACUGUUGGGUAGAAAGCGUCAGAACGGGAUAAAGACUGGUUUUGUACAAACUUUUUCUACUAAGCCAUUGAUUUAAUACUCAUUGACUUUGAAAGAUGAUUUUCUAGGAGAAACUGUGACAUAAUGAAUAGCAUCCAGGCGCUAAAUCCCCCCCAAAAAAGAUGCAUUCCUGAAAGAGACAGCUCUGUUUUCAUUUGCUUGAUUGUAUGAUUCAAACAUUGACGGCCUGGGGCAUGAACGACAUCAGUUCAGAAGGAUGUUAGACAGGAAAAUACAGAC
This is a long non-coding RNA of Thalassophryne amazonica, 966 nucleotides long. RefSeq lists it as uncharacterized. The transcript is spliced from 3 exons. Lineage: Eukaryota; Metazoa; Chordata; Actinopteri; Batrachoidiformes; Batrachoididae. The record is from RefSeq and is a predicted model, not a curated record.